UAAGACGGAGGGCGCAAGCGUUGUUCGGAAUUACUGGGCGUAAAGGGCAGGUAGGUGGUCUGUUAAGUCUUCUGUGAAAACCCGGGGCUCAACCCCGCGGAAUGCAGGUGAAACUGGCAGACUUGAGACCGGUAGAGGCUAGCGGAAUUCCUGGUGUAGCGGUGGAAUGCGUAGAUAUCAGGAAGAACACCUGUGGCGAAGGCGGCUAGCUGGGCCGGUUCUGACACUGAACUGCGAAAGCGUGGGGAGCAAACAGGAUUAGAUACCCUGGUAGUCCACGCCGUAAACGAUGAGAACUAGAUGUUGGGAGGGUUUGCCUCUCAGUGUCGCAGCUAACGCGUUAAGUUCUCCGCCUGGGGAGUACGACCGCAAGGUUG
This 377-nucleotide ribosomal RNA is filed under the name uncultured bacterium. RNAcentral's name for it is "bacterial SSU rRNA". It matches the Rfam family "Bacterial small subunit ribosomal RNA", at positions 521 to 896 of the family's 1533-position model. The record is from RNAcentral.